RNAcentral lists this transfer RNA (73 nucleotides) under Microcaldota archaeon. RNAcentral describes it as "tRNA-Gln". It matches the Rfam family "tRNA". Rfam says of the family: Transfer RNA (tRNA) molecules are approximately 80 nucleotides in length. Their secondary structure includes four short double-helical elements and three loops (D, anti-codon, and T loops). The record is from RNAcentral. Lineage: Archaea; Nanobdellati; Microcaldota.
AGCCUCGUCGUCUAGUGGCCAAGGACCCCAGGCUUUGGACCUGGGUACAUCGGUUCGAAUCCGAUCGAGGCUA